AUGACUCUCGGCAACGGAUAUCUCGGCUCUCGCAUCUAUGAACAACGUAACGAAAUGCUAUACUUGGUGUGAAUUGCGGAAUCCCGUGAACCAUCCAGUCUUUGAACUUUCGUUGCGCCCUAAGCCACUACGCCAAGGGAACGUCUGCCUGGCUGUCA
Molecule: ribosomal RNA, 158 nt
Filed under: Senna surattensis
Lineage: Eukaryota; Viridiplantae; Streptophyta; Magnoliopsida; Fabales; Fabaceae
Description: 5.8S ribosomal RNA
Rfam family: 5.8S ribosomal RNA
About the family: 5.8S ribosomal RNA (5.8S rRNA) is a component of the large subunit of the eukaryotic ribosome. It is transcribed by RNA polymerase I as part of the 45S precursor that also contains 18S and 28S rRNA.
Source: RNAcentral